CCUACUCAGCCUCUAGAACACACUUCUGCUGGCCCCGCUGCCCAGCGAUGGCAGGGUGUGCGGCACACAGGGGCACCACGCCAGGCCCUGGUGUGCCCAGGCCUGCCCAGGCCACCGCCCUCAGGGGCGCCUGCAGAUCCCCUGCUGCACUUCCUCAUCGCCCCUCCUGCUUCCCAGACUCAGAAGCUGCCGUGAGGCACACGUCCUUGGAGCCCUGCAGACCGCCCCGCCUCGCCGGCUACGCUGGGCCUCUCGUGUGCUGAGCACUGCCUGCCCAAGCAGACCCCUGGCUCUCCAGACGCUCUUGAUGUUCAGGAUCAGCAGUGAGACGUGACCGGGCGCAGGAACCACACAGCUCACCAGAGAGCCUGCUAAGUCACACCCAGAGAGCCAUGGUAACUCAUGCUUCCAGGGCACAAGCCGGGGUCAGCGAGGAUCAGCACGGCUGGAACCCGAGUGACGACACCAACCUGGACAGACACAGGCCACCUGUGCUGGCAAGCGAACUCCACACAUUGUUCCCAGCAACCGAAUCUCACCAUAAGGAAGCUGGUGAAGACACUGACCCCCAGCCAUGACCUCCCCUGAACACGCAGGAGCAACGGGAGUGGCCACCCUGGCUUCAGCUCUACACCGUCUGUUUUUUCUUCUAAUUGUUCAAUGACACCUUCUGCAUACUUCCUCAUUCUUAAGGGCGCAGGGGCUCAGCUCCUGAACAACUGGGGUCUCCCCCUCUACAUCAGGUAGGGUGGGUGUUCCAAAAUGCUCAUGGCUUUAAGACACUCUGAUCAGCCAUGACGAAGCCAUUCCCAUAAAAGUGAACUGUCAGAGCUGGCGCUGUGGUGCCAGUUCGUGUUCCAGCUGCUCCCCUUCUGGUCCAGCUCUCUGCUGUGGCCUGGGAGAGCAGUGGGAGACGCCCCAGUGCUUGGCGCCUGCACCCACGUGGGAGACCCGGAAGAAGCUCCUGGCUCCUAACUUUGGACCAGCCCAACCCCGCCUGUUGUGGCCAUAUGGGGAGUGAAUCAGCAGACAAAAGAUCUCUCUCUCUGUCUCUCUCUGUCUCUAUCUCUCCCCCUCUCUCUCUGUAACUCUGCCUUUCAAAUAAAUAAAUAACUCAUAAAUAAAA
This is a non-coding RNA of Oryctolagus cuniculus (rabbit), 1126 nucleotides long. The record is from RefSeq and is a predicted model, not a curated record. NCBI's taxonomy places the organism in Eukaryota, Metazoa, Chordata, Mammalia, Lagomorpha, Leporidae.